Molecule: long non-coding RNA, 1508 nt
Organism: Capsicum annuum
Lineage: Eukaryota; Viridiplantae; Streptophyta; Magnoliopsida; Solanales; Solanaceae
Exons: 2
Source: RefSeq, a predicted model, not a curated record
ACAUCAAGUUGAAAAUCACAAUAUCUGUUACGACCAUAUGUUCUGUAUAUGAAUGUAACUUGUUGAUGCAUUGCAGAAAUACCAUGCUGAUAAAUAUGCUGCAUUCUCCACCUUACUCAGAUAAAAUCUGUCUUUUACUUUUUCUCAAAAUGUCCUUCAUUUCAUACUGAAACUUAAAUAUGAAAUCAAUGCAUGUAGAAUGAGUUAUAUCCAAAAAGAAAAAAAAAAACAGGAGGUUCAGACAUAAAGACCUCAUCGCCAAUAGUUUCAGUAGUUCUUCCACAAAGGUUCUAAUGAAACCGAGUUUGAUUAGAACUAAACAAUAUUUGGGAAAUGAUACAAAGGUCAAAGGCUUUGUUAUCGAGCGUUAGUCAUAGGAUAUCUGUAUGCCUUCAUUUUCUACUUCUCUAUAGAGAUGAGUGUUCCAUUUUAUUCACUGAUUAAAAAAAUGUUUGGUUUCUAGGACCACAUAUUACUUGCAUAAGCCUUCUUCCCAGGUGUGCAGUGAGCUUUACAACCGUAAUUUUUUGUCAUUCAGAUGCUUCAAGAAAUGUUUCAGUUUGCCUACCUUGAUUACCUGGCUCUCAUUGAAAUUCCUCCCUUCUAGAGUGUUUGUCAGUACCCUAGGACGCAGGGUCUGCUAAUGAUAUUAGUUUGGGGAUGCAUUUUCUCUCCUGCUCGUCAUAUCUUUGAUCUCUAUACUUCUGUGAUACAUCUGUAUCCCAUUUAUGUUUAGCUUAGUAUGGGUAUAUUGUGUUCCAUGUGUUAAACUUUUAUUAUCUCUCAUCGAUAUUAUGCUUGCUUCUUUUAAUGGGUGUUUUUGUUUAUCACAGUGGAUUGCUCUUGUUUUGGCGCCAGAAGGGUUUUCUAUAUUUCAUGUAAUGAUUGUAGACCAUCAUUGGGUUGCUCUUGUUUUGGCUCCAAUGAAGGCUUUUCUAUGUUUCCUAAGUCUUUCGCUGUGAUGUUGGACCAAAUGGGAGAAUUCUCAUAAAAGGGGUGAGCGUGACCGGAGAGAGGAAGAUUCGCAGGAAGAAUAUGGUUUUUAAGAUGCAAACUCAGAAUUUAUGCCCACCGGGUGAAUUUACUGUUUCAUUCCAGCUACGAGGUCCAAUUGAUCAUCUAAACUUGUCUUGUAAUUUUGGACCUGACGGAAUUUUUGAAGGUGUUGCGAAGAAAAAACAGCAGGUCCUUUAAGGUACAUAUUUAGAUCAAAAUAUUUCCUCUUUGUAUAAGUACCUCUAUAGUCCAAAGUAUUUUGUUUGGAGUUGCAUGUGAAAGUUGUGUCUGUGGCUUUCCCCACUUUUAUAUUAGUCAAACAAGCCAAUUAUAUUAACCAUUAUAUCUGAACCAAUUAAGUAAUCCCGCCAUUUAGGUUCCUGAUAUAUGAACAAUCAUUCUGCAUUGUUUUUGGAAUGUGGACAUAUUUGUGCACUGUCAAAGUGUAAGGUCAUAUUUAUGUAUUAUACCCUUAGAUUUUAAGCUGAACACGCCCAGUUUUGCGUGUUGAA